RNAcentral lists this transfer RNA (71 nucleotides) under Marmota monax (woodchuck). RNAcentral describes it as "tRNA.Ala". The record is from RNAcentral. Lineage: Eukaryota; Metazoa; Chordata; Mammalia; Rodentia; Sciuridae.
GGGGCUGAAGCUUAGUGGUAGAGCUCUUGCCUUGCAGGUGUGAGGCCCUGGGUUCAAUCAUCAGCACCUCA